GACGGCAGCUUAGGUUCGGGUAGAGUAGUUCUGGCCGGGUUGCUCGCCGCGUGAUGGGGAGGGGAGAGAAGGAAGGCCCGCCGCGCGCGGCGGCAGCGAGCGAGGGUGUAGCUUGGUUGGCGGCGUGCGCCGGCGCAGUCACGGCGUGGAGACGGGAUCGGCGGAGAGGGAAGAGGCCCGCCGCGGCCUUGACUUCUGCUGCUGCAGCCGAGCUAAGAGGGGUUGGUUAGAGGCUGCUAGCGUCGGGCAAAAGAGGCUUUAAAGCCCCGGAGCAGCGCGGAGGUAGACGAUGGUCCUCCCCGCCGCAGCUCGAGGGGCCCUACAGCAAGGCGCCGGCACCUCCCUCUCCUCCUCCCUCUCCGCCGGCGCCUCCUUCUCCUCCGUCUCCGAAGCCCCCGCGGUCGAUACUGGUGGGGCGGUUCGUGCGAGGGGUACUCCUGAAGGGCCUCUAGUGGGACGGCCUCUACUGGACGCGGUUCCGCUGGUUGCUCCUCUUCCGAGACUAUGACAGGUGGAACUUCGAGCUACUAAAGUACUCCUUAAGAACGAUGAUGGACCUCGGCCUACGGGGGUUCUUUUUCUUACUGCUGUUUCUCUAGCUUUCUAUAAGACUAUCCUUCGCAUUUUGUGUCUCGUUUGCCCUUCGAGAACGUAGUAUGGAGUUUGACUAGGGACGUUUAAAAGGACGUCUUGACGAUGUACCGAGAUUUGCUCGUGUUGGUCAAGUCUUUUUUGAAGCCACCCUAUUUCUGCGUCUAUUAGUCCGUAAACUAUAUAAGCUCUUUGAACUUCGCUUCGUCUUCCUACCUCUCCUCUUCUGGCUUUUCCUCCCACUACUCCUCCUCCUCCUACUUCUCCUCCUUCGUCUUCGCCUUCUUUCAAGUCUACUGCUAAUAUUAGUCUUAUAGCUCAAACUACUACUGCUACUACUGACCUUGGUCCUCCUCCUUCGUGUACUUCUGACGAUACUAACUACUAGCGAUCGACGACUUUUCCAAUUGGGUAAGUUGUAAACAAUCCAAAGAACCAUAAGAAGAAGCAAACAUUGAGUAACCCGUUAAAACUACCUUCCAUCACGCAUUAAUCCAUUAUAGUCUACUAAUAAGAAGGGCGCAAGUCCUCAAGUAAAACCAGUACCAUAAUUCUUUACCUUAGGAUGCUCUUUGAGUCCUGGUAGACUUAAGACGUCUCAGGACAAGACUUACAAAGAUAACGCCGACACGGUCUUUUACGCUAAAAUAGACGGGAAAUUAAGUAUCUCAACCCAAGUGUAGGUUUCUUUUUCUUUCUUUUAAUACCCUGAACCAAAAGACACGUAA
This 1319-nucleotide ribosomal RNA is filed under the name Triticum aestivum (bread wheat). RNAcentral's name for it is "partial small subunit ribosomal RNA". Lineage: Eukaryota; Viridiplantae; Streptophyta; Magnoliopsida; Poales; Poaceae. The record is from RNAcentral.